UGGGGAAUAUUGCACAAUGGGGGAAACCCUGAUGCAGCAACGCCGCGUGAGUGAAGAAGUAUUUCGGUAUGUAAAGCUCUAUCAGCAGGGAAGAAAAUGACGGUACCUGACUAAGAAGCACCGGCUAAAUACGUGCCAGCAGCCGCGGUAAUACGUAUGGUGCAAGCGUUAUCCGGAUUUACUGGGUGUAAAGGGAGCGCAGGCGGCAUGGCAAGUCCGAUGUGAAAACCCAGGGCUCAACCCUGGGACUGCAUUGGAAACUGUCAGGCUAGAGUGUCGGAGAGGUAAGUGGAAUUCCUAGUGUAGCGGUGAAAUGCGUAGAUAUUAGGAGGAACACCAGUGGCGAAGGCGGCUUACUGGACGACAACUGACGUUGAGGCUCGAAAGCGUGGGGAGCAAACAGG
This 404-nucleotide ribosomal RNA is filed under the name uncultured bacterium. RNAcentral describes it as "bacterial SSU rRNA". It matches the Rfam family "Bacterial small subunit ribosomal RNA", at positions 355 to 776 of the family's 1533-position model. The record is from RNAcentral.